UACGUAGGGGGCAAGCGUUGUCCGGAAUCAUUGGGCGUAAAGCGCACGUAGGCGGCCCGGUAAGUCCGUUGUGAAAGUCCGAGGCUCAACCUCUGGAGGCCAAUGGAUACUGCCGGGCUAGAGUCCGGAAGAGGCGAGUGGAAUUCCUGGUGUAGCGGUGGAAUGCGCAGAUAUCAGGAGGAACACCGGUGGCGAAGGCGGGUCUCUGGGCAGUAACUGACGCUGAGGAGCGAAAGCGUGGGGAGCGAACAGG
RNAcentral lists this ribosomal RNA (253 nucleotides) under uncultured bacterium. Its description in RNAcentral is "partial 16S ribosomal RNA". It matches the Rfam family "Bacterial small subunit ribosomal RNA", at positions 524 to 776 of the family's 1533-position model. The record is from RNAcentral.